AUGGCGGCCAUCAUCUCCACCUCCUACUUCUCCUCGCAGCCGCAUCUGCCGGCGUCCAGCGCCACCGCUACAACCAGCAUCAGCAAAGGCCGGCAGCCGCGGAGGCAUCGGACGGGCAGCUGCGUCAUGCUCGAGGCGGCCUCCGGUGGUGGCGCGGUGGGGAGGACCAGGAGCCUGACGGAGGAGGACCUGGAGGAGCUCAAGGGCUGCCUCGACCUCGGAUUCGGAUUCUCCUACCAUGAGAUCCCGGGCCUCUGCGGGACGCUCCCUGGUCUGGAGCUCUGCUACUCCAUGACGCGGAGGUUCCUCGACGAGCAGAGGACUCUGGUCGGGCAGCUGGAGCCCGCCGCGGUGGCGGCGCCGCCCAUCCCGGACUGGAAGAUCUCCGGCCCUGGUGAUGAUCCAGACCAAGUGAAAGCUCGGCUCAAGUAUUGGGCGCAGACAGUGGCAUGCACAGUCAAACUCUGCAGCUAG
Molecule: ribosomal RNA, 474 nt
Filed under: Triticum aestivum (bread wheat)
Lineage: Eukaryota; Viridiplantae; Streptophyta; Magnoliopsida; Poales; Poaceae
Description: partial small subunit ribosomal RNA
Source: RNAcentral